Molecule: ribosomal RNA, 253 nt
Filed under: uncultured bacterium
Lineage: Bacteria
Description: partial 16S ribosomal RNA
Rfam family: Bacterial small subunit ribosomal RNA
Source: RNAcentral
GACGAACCACACGAACGUUAUUCGGAAUUACUGGGCUUAAAGGGUGCGUAGGCUGCGCGGACAGUUGGGUGUGAAAUCCCUCGGCUUAACCGAGGAACUGCGCCCAAAACUACCGUGCUCGAGGAAGAUAGAGGUGAGCGGAACUUACGGUGGAGCGGUGAAAUGCGUUGAUAUCGUAAGGAACACCUGUGGCGAAAGCGGCUCACUGGGUCUUUUCUGACGCUGAAGCACGAAAGCUAGGGGAGCAAACGGG